UACGUAGGGGGCAAGCGUUGUCCGGAAUCAUUGGGCGUAAAGAGCGUGUAGGCGGCCAGAUAAGUCCGCUGUGAAAUCUCGAGGCUCAACUUCGAGCUGUCGGUGGAAACUGUCUGGCUAGAGUCCGGAAGAGGAGAAUGGAAUUCCUGGUGUAGCGGUGAAAUGCGCAGAUAUCAGGAAGAACACCCGUGGCGAAGGCGGUUCUCUGGGACGGUACUGACGCUGAAACGCGAAAGCGUGGGGAGCGAACAGG
Molecule: ribosomal RNA, 253 nt
Filed under: uncultured bacterium
Lineage: Bacteria
Description: partial 16S ribosomal RNA
Rfam family: Bacterial small subunit ribosomal RNA
Source: RNAcentral